Long non-coding RNA from Scleropages formosus (Asian bonytongue), 969 nucleotides. RefSeq lists it as uncharacterized. The transcript has 3 exons. The record is from RefSeq and is a predicted model, not a curated record. NCBI's taxonomy places the organism in Eukaryota, Metazoa, Chordata, Actinopteri, Osteoglossiformes, Osteoglossidae.
AAUUCCACACACACUGUGCUAGAUCAUAAGAACAUUACAUGCACUCUUACCGUGACUUAAUACAACUAACUUAAGGUUCAAAAUGAUGUGAAUAUCAGAAAAAAAGAUUAAUACUCCACAUUUUUGUAAGUAAUUUUAGUAUAAAGUGUCUUUAUGUGGAACUGACUGAGCUGUUUUGCUUUAAUGUUUUAUUUUGCAUUCAUUAUACAAAUGAUCUGCAAUAAUUUCUCCUGUAGUGGAGAGAAAUUCUGAUCCAGUUCUAAUAUAUGCUGCUCCAUUAAUAUACAGUGGCUUACCAACAUCUGAUACUGAAGCACUUGAAACAUGUUCCUCUGCAAAUUCCUUCUUGCAUUGCUCAAUCUCCAAUAAUGUUUAUUUGCCUACUGGAGAACAUUCCUGAAAUCUACCACUCAUGUUUCUCAAACAUUACACUGAAGGAUAAACACAUUCUUUAGCAAUCUAUUAAUGUACUCCCACUUUGUAUCCCAGAAAUGACCUUAUCUGCAGCAAACUUAGCCACAGAAGCUUUCCAGUUUGUCUUGGUUCAACAAACCCACAAGGACACAAAGCUGCCUAUAAUAAGUCGAAGCAGCCAGAUGUCCUAAUUUUCCGACUGUCAUUAUUACAUGCUCUUUAUUAUGUUGCCAUUCUUGAUCUUUGUAAGCUUCCUUUAGCAAUACUACACAAAAUAUCACUUGGGCAACUCACUAAAGCCAUAGUUAAUAUGAAUAUUGACCAGCAGAAAGAGUCCUUCCAGGGCACACUGGAGCAAAGCAAGCCCUUCAAGAUAAAACAGGGCAGAGAGGCUCUUUCGAAGAACAUCACUCUGAGCGUAAGAGACACUGGAGGAAUUAGCUGAAAUCUGAAGGCUGGCAUCAGACACCAAGAGAUCCAUGGAUGACCUCUUUCACUCCUGACGCCCCCUGGUUCAUCAGGUUCCAGCCACGGAUACAGCCAUCUAGCCUGGGA